Mercurialis annua (annual mercury) is the source of this 462-nucleotide long non-coding RNA. RefSeq lists it as uncharacterized. The record is from RefSeq and is a predicted model, not a curated record. Lineage: Eukaryota; Viridiplantae; Streptophyta; Magnoliopsida; Malpighiales; Euphorbiaceae. The transcript has 2 exons.
CCUAUAGGAGAUUUUACUCGUGAUUAGGGUUUUUCAGUAACCCUAUAAAUAAGAACGAGAGGGUUAGCAUUCGUCUCUCUCAAAUUUGCCAACCAGAAAACUUUGGUUACAUACAGAAAUUGCCGAUCUGAGAGACAGACGCCGAAACUGAUUCAAGAUGCGAGCUAAGUGGAAGAAGAAGAGAAUGAGGAGGUUGAAGAGGAAGCGCCGAAAGAUGAGACAGAGAUCCAAGUAGGCUACUGGUCUGAUGAACUGAUUUGUUUAAUCCUGCUGCUUUCGGUUGAGUCCGGUGGGUAUCAGGGAAGAGCUUCAUUGGUUUGUUGUCCAGCUAGUCAGGCUAGUUAUAGUUUUAGCUUGAGAUUAAUGUUUCUGCAAUUUGGAUUUUUUAAACGGUUUUGGUUAUGUAAUAGACUUGAUAUUCUAGUAUGCUUUUUAAAUGGAUUAUGCUACUUUUUCACUUAA